GGAUGGAUGAGUAAUGCAUAGAUAACGUGCCCCAAACACUGGAAUAGCUGCGUCCCGCAAGGGACUUUAGCGAAAGUGCAGGUAAUGCCGGAUAAUGUCAGAGAGUCGUAUGGCUUUCUGACCAAAGGGAUUUCGGUUCGGUUUGGGAGCGGUUUAUGUCGUAUCAGCUUGUUGGUGAGGUAACGGCUCACCAAGGCAGCGACGCGUAGCGGGACUGAGAGGUCGGCCCGCCAUAUCGGGACUGAGACACUGCCCGGACCUCCACGGAGGGCUGCAGUAACGGAUAUUGCGCAAUGAGCGAAAGCCUGACGCAGCGACGCCGCGUGUGGGAUGAAGUCCCUCGGGAUGUAAACCACUGUCAGGGCUAAGAAAGGCCGUCGCAAGACGGUUUGAUCUAACCCAAAGGAAGGCACGGCUAACUUCGUGCCAGCAGCCGCGGUAAUACGAAGGUGCCGAGCGUUGUUCGGAAUCACUGGGCUUAAAGAGCACGUAGGCGGAUAGUUAAGUGUUUUGUGAAAUCCCUCGUCUCAACCGAGGAAUUGCAGGGCAUACUGGCUAUCUAGAGGCAAGUAGGGGUGCAUGGAACUCCAGGUGGAGCGGUGAAAUGCGUAGAUAUCUGGAGGAACGCCCGCGGUGAAAACGGUGCACUAGGCUUGUUCUGACGCUGAGGUGCGAAAGCGUGGGGAGCGGACGGGAUUAGAUACCCCGGUAGUCCACGCCGUAAACGAUGUCUACUAGGUCGCGGAGGUUCUGACGCCGUCGCGGCCGAAGCAAAAGUGCUUAGUAGACCGCCUGGGGAGUACGGUCGCAAGGCUAAAACUCAAAGGAAUUGACGGGGGCUCACACAAGCAGUGGAGCAUGUGGCUUAAUUCGAAGCAACGCGAAGAACCUUAUCCUGGGUUUGACAUGCUUGGAUGGCAACCGUGAAAGCGGACCUGGCUGCCUUCGGGUGAAACUUGCACAGGUGCUGCAUGGCUGUCGUCAGCUCGUGUCGUGAGAUGUCGGGUUAAGUCCCUUAACGAGCGAAACCCUUAUCGUUAGUUACCAGCGCGUAAUGGCGGGGACUCUAACGAGACUGCCGGUGUUAAACCGGAGGAAGGCGGGGAUGACGUCAAGUCCUCAUGGCCUUUAUGCCCAGGGCUGCACGCGUGCUACAAUGGUGGUGACAAACCGAUGCAAAGCCGCGAGGUAGGGCAAAUCGGAAAAACAUCACCCCAGUACGGAUUGCAGGCUGCAACUCGCCUGCAUGAAGUUGGAAUUGCUAGUAAUCGCAGAUCAGCUACGCUGCGGUGAAUGUGUUCCUGAGCCUUGUACACACCGCCCGUCAAGUCAUGGGAGCCGGGAGUACUUGAAGUCGGGUAGCUAACCCGCAAGGGAAGCGCCUGCCGAUGGUAAGCUCGGUGACUGGGGCUAAGUCGUAACAAGGUA
This 1428-nucleotide ribosomal RNA is filed under the name metagenome. Its description in RNAcentral is "bacterial SSU rRNA". It matches the Rfam family "Bacterial small subunit ribosomal RNA". The record is from RNAcentral.